UACGAAGGGGGCUAGCGUUGUUCGGAUUUACUGGGCGUAAAGCGCACGUAGGCGGAUCGUUAAGUCGGGGGUGAAAUCCUGGGGCUCAACCCCAGAACUGCCUUCGAUACUGGCGAUCUCGAGUCCGGAAGAGGUGAGUGGAACUCCUAGUGUAGAGGUGGAAUUCGUAGAUAUUAGGAAGAACACCAGUGGCGAAGGCGGCUCACUGGUCCGGUACUGACGCUGAGGUGCGAAAGCGUGGGGAGCAAACAGG
This 253-nucleotide ribosomal RNA is filed under the name uncultured bacterium. RNAcentral's name for it is "partial 16S ribosomal RNA". It matches the Rfam family "Bacterial small subunit ribosomal RNA", at positions 524 to 776 of the family's 1533-position model. The record is from RNAcentral.